GUCAGGACUGCAGCGUCGGCCUUUAUCCUCUCCAGUGAACUUAUCUGUUCACAAAGCUCCUCGUUCUGCCUGGUAGAAAAGCAACUUAUCCUUCCUCGUACACUUACUUUAGUACUUUUUGGAAUGAAAUCAUAGAUAAGCAGAACAAAACUACCUGUGACACAUGUUUACUUCUGCGGCACUGUAAAUGUUGUAACUGGACUUUAAGCCGUGCAGCUUAAUAAGCAGCCUAAUGUAUUAGUUUUCCCCACAUUCCAGCCUCUGCCUGAAUUAUGUAAAAUGCAAUUUCAUCACAAUAGACUUUGGCGAGCUGUGGGUACGCCUGGGAUACCGGCUGGUACCAGUCGAAUCUCUACGGCAGCUCACAGAGAAAUAUGGAAGCAUCACUGCUGCAGAAAGACUGCUGAUGUGCUUUGAUCGUUUGGUGCGAAACCAGCUUUGGGCCUCGGCCUCUUGCUCAAAGGCACGGGGAAGUGCUCUGGCGGCUUGCCCUUACCUGCAACGCGAACCACCGCCCUCUCUGCCGGGUCCAGUACAGAGUCCUGGCUCUUCCUCUUCCUGCGCUCAUGUUUGGACAGGUUCCACGGCAGCGUGUCUCCCGGGGGCCCCGCGGGACCCGGCGGACACGGGGACAGCGACCCCGCCGAGCGC
Molecule: long non-coding RNA, 651 nt
Organism: Gasterosteus aculeatus aculeatus (three-spined stickleback)
Lineage: Eukaryota; Metazoa; Chordata; Actinopteri; Perciformes; Gasterosteidae
Source: Ensembl